This 502-nucleotide ribosomal RNA is filed under the name uncultured fungus. RNAcentral's name for it is "SSU rRNA". It matches the Rfam family "Eukaryotic small subunit ribosomal RNA", at positions 20 to 527 of the family's 1831-position model. The record is from RNAcentral. Lineage: Eukaryota; Fungi.
GUAGUCAUAUGCUUGUCUCAAAGAUUAAGCCAUGCAUGUCUAAGUAUAAGCAAUCUAUACUGUGAAACUGCGAAUGGCUCAUUAAAUCAGUUAUAGUUUAUUUGAUAGUACCUUUACCUGGAUAACCGUGGUAAUUCUAGAGCUAAUACAUGCUAAAAACCCCGACUUCGGAAGGGGUGUAUUUAUUAGAUAAAAAACCAAUGCCCUCCGGGGCUCCUUGGUGAUUCAUAAUAACUUAACGAAUCGCAUGGCCUUGCGCCGGCGAUGGUUCAUUCAAAUUUCUGCCCUAUCAACUUUCGAUGGUAGGAUAGUGGCCUACCAUGGUCUCAACGGGUAACGGGGAAUUAGGGUUCUAUUCCGGAGAGGGAGCCUGAGAAACGGCUACCACAUCCAAGGAAGGCAGCAGGCGCGCAAAUUACCCAAUCCCAAUACGGGGAGGUAGUGACAAUAAAUACUGAUACAGGGCUCUUUCGGGUCUUGUAAUUGGAAUGAGUACAAUCUA